RNA transcript from Cannabis sativa, 2334 nucleotides. It is a transcript of the gene named metal transporter Nramp2, with no coding region annotated. The record is from RefSeq and is a predicted model, not a curated record. Lineage: Eukaryota; Viridiplantae; Streptophyta; Magnoliopsida; Rosales; Cannabaceae. The transcript is spliced from 5 exons.
UUUAAAAAAGGAAAAAAUGAAAAAUGAAAAAGUAAAUAUACGAAAAAGCAUACAAGUACAGGACACGGAAACUCCCUCGCACGCGCACACCCAUCUCGGUGGACAAGUCUGUGUGAGCUUUUUUUCCUCAUCAUCUCUCGGGAAUAUCUACACUACUCCACCACCCACCGAAUUCGCCGGUAUUGAAUCCCUGAUAUCUAGAGAAUAUUUCGGUGGCCAACAAGUAUUGCGGCGGCUACUCGAUGAGCUCUAUUCCAAUGGAAGAUGGAAAAGAUGAGGAAGCAAAUCGAUUAUUACGAUCCCAGUCAACUUCAUCGCCUCCCAAGUCAUUAUAUUCGCCGGACGAGGAUGACGAAGAAGAAGUUGCUUUUGAGGAGCGAGAGAAGAUCUUAAUUGUCGAUUUGAAUUCACCGGAGGCCAUUGAUUCCUGUGUCGUCCCACCGUUCUCGUGGAAGAAGCUAUGGUUGUUUACUGGGCCAGGGUUCUUGAUGAGCAUAGCCUUCUUGGAUCCAGGCAACCUGGAAGGAGAUCUCCAGGCUGGAGCCAUUGCUGGGUACUCAUUGCUCUGGCUCUUGAUGUGGGCAACGAUUAUGGGCCUCAUGAUCCAGUUGUUGUCAGCAAGAGUUGGUGUCGCCACGGGCCGACACUUGGCGGAGCUUUGCCGGGACGAGUAUCCGAAUUGGGCCAGAUUGGUUCUUUGGUUCAUGGCGGAGGUGGCAUUGAUUGGAGCUGAUAUUCAGGAGGUGAUUGGGAGUGCCAUUGCUAUUCAGAUUCUUAGUCAUGGGGUUUUGCCUCUUUGGGCUGGAGUCAUCAUUACUGCUUCGGAUUGUUUCAUCUUUUUAUUUCUUGAGAACUAUGGAGUGAGGAAGUUAGAAGCUGUGUUUGCAGUUCUCAUUGCAACAAUGGGUCUAUCAUUUGCUUGGAUGUUUGCUGACGCAAAACCCAGUGGAAAACAACUUAUUAUCGGUCUGUUGGUUCCUAGACUUGGCUCAAAAACUAUUCGGCAGGCUGUUGGAGUUGUUGGUUGCGUUAUAAUGCCUCACAAUGUAUUUCUACACUCUGCUUUGGUGCAGUCUAGAAAUGUUGAUCCCCACAAGAAAAGCAAAGUUCAAGAGGCACUGAACUACUACUCUAUCGAGUCAUCUGUCGCUCUUUUCAUUUCUUUCAUGAUCAAUUUGUUCGUGACAUCUGUGUUUGCUAAGGGAUUCUAUGGCACCAAACAAGCAGACAGUAUAGGACUAGUAAACGCAGGUCAGUAUCUUCAGGAUAAGUAUGGUGGGGGCCUCCUUCCAAUUCUUUAUAUAUGGGGAAUUGGAUUGUUGGCAGCUGGACAGAGUAGCACAAUAACCGGCACUUAUGCUGGGCAGUUUAUUAUGGGUGGUUUUCUUAACCUCCGUUUAAAGAAGUGGAUGAGAGCAUUGAUCACCAGGAGUUUUGCUAUUAUUCCAACCAUUGUUGUAGCAGUUAUAUUUAAUACAUCUGAAGCUUCUUUGGAUGUUUUGAAUGAAUGGCUUAAUGUCCUUCAGUCUAUUCAGAUUCCAUUUGCCCUUAUUCCUCUUCUUACCUUGGUAGCAAAGGAGCAGGUGAUGGGAGUCUUUAAGAUUGGGCCUGUCCUUGAGAGGGUGGCAUGGACGGUGGCUGGACUGGUAAUAGUCAUCAAUGGGUAUCUGUUGCUAGACUUUUUCAUUUCUGAAGUUAAGGGAGUCUUGUUUGGUUUUGCGGUCUGCUUUGGCACCACGGCAUACUUAGGAUUUAUUAUAUAUCUUAUUACACACUGCGGUAUCCUUCCCUCUACUUGGUGGAGCUCACUCUCCAAAAGGAUUGCUUGCAUCAGAACGUGACUCAACAAAUCCAUAUACCAAUUUCUGGAAAUAUUUGAAAUAUAGCACUUCCCACACAAAAGCAGAGUCUGCUUACCACACGGGUGAUCCAUCUGUCUUGAGAAGAAGUAUUCUUUCAUAAUAACUUCCUCUAACCAUGGUACAUUCAGAAACAAGGAGAAAAAAAUAAAAGCAUUUUUUUUUCAGACCUAAAAGUUGACAAGUUUUGAACAAAGCAAUGCUCCUACAAUUCUCUUGUGAUGCUAGGGCUACUAUGAAAACUUGAUUUUGGCAGUCAAAAUGAUGCACUUGCGAUACUACAGUGAUCAGGGAUGAAAUUAGAAAUAAAAUUUGGUAGGGCGCUUACAUAUUUUUAUAUUAUGUGAAGACUUUUAAAAUUUUAAUUAUAAAAUUAAAUAUAAUAAAAUGUAAAAUAAUACAUAAUUGUAUUAAAGUAAUUUUUAUUCAAUGUUAUUUUACAUUUUCACUUUGCACAUAGUUGCUAGGUGGUUCA